GUGCUCGCUUCGGUAGCACAUACACUAAAAUUGGAAUGACACAGAGAAGACUAGCAUGGCCACUGCACAAGGGUGACGCGCAAAUUCGCGAAGCAUUCCAUAUUUAA
Small nuclear RNA from Salvator merianae (Argentine black and white tegu), 107 nucleotides. The record is from Ensembl. NCBI's taxonomy places the organism in Eukaryota, Metazoa, Chordata, Lepidosauria, Squamata, Teiidae.